RNAcentral lists this ribosomal RNA (492 nucleotides) under uncultured bacterium. RNAcentral's name for it is "partial 16S ribosomal RNA". It matches the Rfam family "Bacterial small subunit ribosomal RNA", at positions 29 to 507 of the family's 1533-position model. The record is from RNAcentral.
AGUGAACGCUGGCGGCAGGCUUUACACAUGCAAGUCGAACGGCAGCACAGUAUUCGCUUGCUCUUCCGGUUGCCGAGUGGCGGAUGGGUGAGCAGUACAUCCGCAGUUACUUUUUAGAGGGGGGCGAAAUCGGGAUUAUUACGCCAUUCCCGCAUACGAUGUACGGGUGAAACCAGAAGAUCUUCCGACCUUGCGCGAUUCGAUGUCCCGAUGUCGGGUUAGCUAGUUGGCGGGGUAAAGGCGCACCAAGGCGACGAUCCGUAGCUGGUCUGAGAGGAUGAUCAGCCACACUGGAACUGAGACACGGUCCAGACUCCUACGGGAGGCAGCAGUGGGGAAUAUUGGACAAUGGGGGCAAGCCUGAUCCAGCCAUGCCGCGUGGGUGAAGAAGGCCUUCGGGUUGUAAAGCGCUUUUGUUGGGAAAGAAAAGCUGUGGGCUAAUACCCCGCGGGUCUGACGGUACCGAAAGAAUAAGCACCGGCUAACUUCGUG